Heterocephalus glaber (naked mole-rat) is the source of this 100-nucleotide small nuclear RNA. Lineage: Eukaryota; Metazoa; Chordata; Mammalia; Rodentia; Bathyergidae. The record is from Ensembl.
UUGCUUUGGCAGAAUAUAUAUUAGAAUUGAAAUGAUACAGACAUUAGCAUGACCAUUGUGCAAGGGUGAUAUGCACAAUUGUGAAGCAUUCCAUAUUUUU